Molecule: ribosomal RNA, 482 nt
Filed under: uncultured bacterium
Lineage: Bacteria
Description: partial 16S ribosomal RNA
Rfam family: Bacterial small subunit ribosomal RNA
Source: RNAcentral
GACGAACGCUGGCGGCGUGCUUAACACAUGCAAGUCGAACGAUGAAGCUGGAGCUUGCUCCGGUGGAUUAGUGGCGAACGGGUGAGUAACACGUGAGCAAUCUGCCCUUGACUCUGGGAUAACUGCGGGAAACUGUAGCUAAUACCGGAUACGAGGCUCGAAGGCAUCUUCGGGUCUGGAAAGAAUUUCGGUCAAGGAUGAGCUCACGGCCUAUCAGCUUGUUGGUGAGGUAAUGGCUCACCAAGGCGACGACGGGUAGCCGGCCUGAGAGGGUGACCGGCCACACUGGGACUGAGACACGGCCCAGACUCCUACGGGAGGCAGCAGUGGGGAAUAUUGCACAAUGGGCGAAAGCCUGAUGCAGCAACGUCGCGUGAGGGAUGAAGGCCUUCGGGUUGUAAACCUCUUUAGCAGGGAAGAAGCGAAAGUGACGGUACCCGCAGAAAAAGCACCGGCUAACUACGUGCCAGCCGCCGCCGUAA